CACGCCGUAAACGAUGAUUACUGGGUGUAGGGGGUAUCGACUCCCUCUGUGCCGAAGCAAACGCGAUAAGUAAUCCACCUGGGGAGUACGGCCGCAAGGCUAAAACUCAAAGGAAUUGACGGGGGCCCGCACAAGCAGUGGAGUAUGUGGUUUAAUUCGAGGCAACGCGAAGAACCUUACCAGGGUUUGACAUCCCGCGCCAGAGGCAGAGAUGCUUUGUUCCUUUCGGGGACGCGGAGACAGGUGG
This 247-nucleotide ribosomal RNA is filed under the name uncultured bacterium. Its description in RNAcentral is "partial 16S ribosomal RNA". It matches the Rfam family "Bacterial small subunit ribosomal RNA", at positions 796 to 1041 of the family's 1533-position model. The record is from RNAcentral. RNAcentral also lists the same sequence under 1 other name.